AGAGUUUGAUCAUGGCUCAGAUUGAACGCUGGCGGCAGGCCUAACACAUGCAAGUCGAACGGUAACAGGAAGCAGCUUGCUGCUUCGCUGACGAGUGGCGGACGGGUGAGUAAUGUCUGGGAAGCUGCCUGAUGGAGGGGGAUAACUACUGGGAACGGUAGCUAAUACCGCAUAAUGUCGCAAGACAAAAGAGGGGGACCUUCGGGCCUCUUGCCAUCGGAUGUGCCCAGAUGGGAUUAGCUUGUUGGUGGGGUAACGGCUCACCAAGGCGACGAUCCCUAGCUGGUCUGAGAGGAUGACCAGCCACACUGGAACUGAGACACGGUCCAGACUCCUACGGGAGGCAGCAGUGGGGAAUAUUGCACAAUGGGCGCAAGCCUGAUGCAGCCAUGCCGCGUGUAUGAAGAAGGCCUUCGGGUUGUAAAGUACUUUCAGCGGGGAGGAAGGGAGUAAAGUUAAUACCUUUGCUCAUUGACGUUACCCGCAGAAGAAGCACCGGCUAACUCCGUGCCAGCAGCCGCGGUAAUACGGAGGGUGCAAGCGUUGAUCGGAAUUACUGGGCGUAAAGCGCACGCAGGCGGUUUGUUAAGUCAGAUGUGAAAUCCCCGGGCUCAACCUGGGAACUGCAUCUGAUACUGGCAAGCUUGAGUCUCGUAGAGGGGGGUAGAAUUCCAGGUGUAGCGGUGAAAUGCGUAGAGAUCUGGAGGAAUACCGGUGGCGAAGGCGGCCCCCUGGACGAAGACUGACGCUCAGGUGCGAAAGCGUGGGGAGCAAACAGGAUUAGAUACCCUGGUAGUCCACGCCGUAAACGAUGUCGACUUGGAGGUUGUGCCCUUGAGGCGUGGCUUCCGGAGCUAACGCGUUAAGUCGACCGCCUGGGGAGUACGGCCGCAAGGUUAAAACUCAAAUGAAUUGACGGGGGCCCGCACAAGCGGUGGAGCAUGUGGUUUAAUUCGAUGCAACGCGAAGAACCUUACCUGGUCUUGACAUCCACGGAAGUUUUCAGAGAUGAGAAUGUGCCUUCGGGAACCGUGAGACAGGUGCUGCAUGGCUGUCGUCAGCUCGUGUUGUGAAAUGUUGGGUUAAGUCCCGCAACGAGCGCAACCCUUAUCCUUUGUUGCCAGCGGUCCGGCCGGGAACUCAAAGGAGACUGCCAGUGAUAAACUGGAGGAAGGUGGGGAUGACGUCAAGUCAUCAUGGCCCUUACGACCAGGGCUACACACGUGCUACAAUGGCGCAUACAAAGAGAAGCGACCUCGCGAGAGCAAGCGGACCUCAUAAAGUGCGUCGUAGUCCGGAUUGGAGUCUGCAACUCGACUCCAUGAAGUCGGAAUCGCUAGCAAUCGUGGAUCAGAAUGCCACGGUGAAUACGUUCCCGGGCCUUGUACACACCGCCCGUCACACCAUGGGAGUGGGUUGCAAAAGAAGUAGGUAGCUUAACCUUCGGGAGGGCGCUUACCACUUUGUGAUUCAUGACUGGGGUGAAGUCGUAACAAGGUAACCGUAGGGGAACCUGCGGUUG
This 1522-nucleotide ribosomal RNA is filed under the name metagenome. RNAcentral's name for it is "bacterial SSU rRNA". It matches the Rfam family "Bacterial small subunit ribosomal RNA". The record is from RNAcentral.